This 772-nucleotide long non-coding RNA is filed under the name Macaca mulatta (Rhesus monkey). Its description in RNAcentral is "lncRNA (ENSMMUG00000039292.2)". The record is from RNAcentral. Lineage: Eukaryota; Metazoa; Chordata; Mammalia; Primates; Cercopithecidae.
GCACUAGUAUAUACCCCUCACCCUUCACUGACCCUGGCUGCAUCUCCUGCUGAAACUCUCUCUUCCUCCUCUCUCAAAUCCUCUUCAUACAGGAAUGGGUAUGAAGUGAGUUCUCUUCCACUGAUCUUGGUCACGUACUCCAAGACUUUCUUCUUGCUGGUUUCAGCAUGGGCCCUUGGACCCCACAGGAACUCAUAGCAUGCAGGAUCACUUCUGGGCACCUGCCAGUACUCCAGUGCUCCUCUAGGGCCUCCUUGGGUUCCUGUCCUCCUGGUCAGCCGGUCCCCUGAGAAUCUGAAGAGAAGUGAGACAGCUCCUGAGGUUACAGCCAGCCAGCAGAGGCCAAGGCUCCAACACUGAUGGGCCUGAAUCCUGCCCCUUUGCUGGCCUGAGAAAAUCUCAGAUCAAGAGCUCAUAUCCCUGAUAUGGAACAGAAGGGCAUGAGGGGACCCACAUCUGGCCACACCUGCUCAAGGCUUCACAGCAAGGACAGUAAGAGGUGGCCAUAUUCAGGGUGGAAGUUCCAAAGUCCUCCUGUGGGUUAUUCAUCUUUACUCCUGCCGGGACCUGCCGGUCCUCAACCCUCAGCCCCGUGAGAGCCUGGGUCCACUUCCCUCUGCCGAUCUCAAGCCGCCCCUCAGACCGAGACCCUCGCUUCUCUGACCCCUAGGCGUCGCAGCCGGCCACCAAGCCUGGGGCUUCCUCGGGUUGACUGCAGGUGUCGUACCGGAUUCUGCUAUGAGUGGGGGUGGAAAUGGGGGUGGGGGUCGUG